UAUUUUUGCACCCGUCUUACAAAAGUUGUAUUGACAUACAUAAAAAUCAUUAAAUAAUAUUGGAAUG
Non-coding RNA from Flavobacterium plurextorum, 67 nucleotides. NCBI's taxonomy places the organism in Bacteria, Pseudomonadati, Bacteroidota, Flavobacteriia, Flavobacteriales, Flavobacteriaceae. The record is from Rfam.